CAAGUACUUCAGAUCCAACAUAAGUUUCUGGUGUAAAAGUUCCAUACAAAGACUAGUGGCUAAUGAGUCUCAGAGAAUGAUCUUCUACAUGAGAUCUUUUUAAAUUUUUAUUUUAUUUUUAAUCCAUUUUUUGGGAAUUUCACAUCAUGCACCCCAGUUGCACUUACCUCUCAAUCUUCCCAUGUCUGCUCCCCAUAGCUCGACCCACCAAAAUAAGAAAGUGAAAAGUCUAUCUUGUGUUCUCUGGAGCAUGGUCACAUUCCUAGUGGCCAGCUUCCCCAGGGAGGAUGAAUCUUUCUCCACCUGCGCCUCCAUCAGAAGCCAUCAGCUGAGGAGAGCCGUGCUGCAGCAGAGGAGAAACAGGGACAGCUCUCUCACAACCAUGACAUGUCACUGUAAUUGCUGCUGUGCUGUGGGCCAUCAAGGGUGGGGCUAGCUCUCCCACACCUAUGCUAUUACAGGUGUGUGGGACCGUAAAAGGCAGCCUGUUUUCUGGUCGAGCAAGACUUACUCCGGAGACCCAGUAGAUACUCUACAAGGGACGGAACAGUGAGCCAUGCUCCCAGACAGACAGACUCCCAGCCUGACACCACAGAGCCCCCAACUCCAUAUUCCUGUGACUAUCAGUCACACACACAAAGUCCCAAGCUCCUGAUAUUCUGACUACAGUUACCUGACAAUAGCCAGGUAUGUUCCGCCCCACAACUACCCUGCAACUGCAAGAUAACCCAGCCAACUAUAAAAGGGGCUGCUUGGCUCCUCCUCUCUCAUUUAAGCUCUCCUUUCUCUUAUUCUCAUCUCUAUCUCUCGUUUUUCCCCUCCCUUUCCCCCUUUCUCCACGUGGCCAUGGCCGGCCUCUCCUAUUCUACCUUCUCUCUUUCUCUCUGCCUUUCUUCUAUAAAGCUCUAAAACCAUGGACUGUCUCUGCUCAUGGAGACUCGCCAUGUUAGGGCAACAGAGCGGGCUUUCCUCUAAAAUGCUGCAUCUAACCUCCUACCAAAGAAAGGCCUUCCUGAGCUCCAGCAACAGCCAUUAGCCAACCCAAGCUGCCCACUGAGCAAGCCAGACUCUCUCCUCCCCACAGUAACCUGCCAGGCCUCUCCCCCUACCCUCCCUUCGGCCCCUGGGCCAGAGUCUGUCUGAGGGCCCAUUCUCAGCUCUUCCACGACAUACAGGGAGGUCUGGGAGGUCUGAGCCUGAGAACCUCCUUAAGGCCCAGGGACCCCGGAUUGCUCCCUCUCUACCCCCUCGGACUGGGGUUCUGUGGCUUCCCACAGUUAGACAUCCAUCCACCCGGGCCACAUAGAGCACGGCAGUUUUCCCUGCCCCCCUUUAUUUCCUGAGACACGCUGCCCGACACAGGUGCUCUGCAUGGCAGCCAGCGAGGGGUGGGUGUACGUGAGAUCCUGAAGGAAACGGGCAAUGCAGCUGGACAAGUGACAUGGAGACACGGCAGCAUAGCCCAGAAGGAGGAAGACAGACCUGCAGACUGUCAUGCCACCCACAGGCCUGUCCUCCAGUGUACAGGUGGGCCACAGAAACCUGUUUGCUGACAGGCCACAUCGCAUGGAUGAAGUCACUCAGAAACCUGCCAGCCGAGUGGCCAGCCUAUAUCUGGAGCCAGCACAAUGUGCAAGCACGUGGUGGUCAGGUGAGAGAGAAAGAGAAGUGGGGCAGCUUGAGCCUUAUGGCGAGAGAUGGAACUGGAGACGUGAGGGUGGAGAGGAGUAGCCUGCUGUGAGUGACCAGCCCUGCCAUGGUUGAGGUUCUAGCCCCAGCUGAUGCUGAGGGCGCUGUCUGAGUCUAUGACUGCACAGUGGCAGGGGUCAUUGUCAAUGUUCAUUCUUGCUGAUAUUACCACUAGAGAACAUGGGGAAGUCCCUGCUCAGGGAAGCUGCUGGGGACCACCUGGAUGUCCCAUGCCUCUGCAUAAAUGGCCCUACCCCUCAAUGGCUGCCAUGACACUCUAGAGAGCUGACCUAUCUCUCAUCAGCCAUAUCACUUGAGUGCAGGCCUUCUGCCUUGCCCAGGGAGCACAGUGGAGCUGGCCCUGAUAGCCAGGGUGUGGGUAAGCUGGCUCCAAGGGCAUGAGUGUGGAAAAGCUGAUCUCACCACAGGUCUGCCACGUGGUGGGACAGGUGCAGAGGUGAGACCACCACCACCACCUCCAUCAGGAAAGCUGCUCACAGGGUCAUGAAAGCAGGAGAGCAGGCCCUGCCCCUUGCUUGCUACGGCACUUGGGGAGAGUGUGCCCUGGACCUCACUCAACUCAGAGGGUAAGAGUGCAGGGAAA
This 2293-nucleotide long non-coding RNA is filed under the name Mus musculus (house mouse). RNAcentral describes it as "predicted gene, 41118". The record is from RNAcentral. Lineage: Eukaryota; Metazoa; Chordata; Mammalia; Rodentia; Muridae.